Molecule: ribosomal RNA, 253 nt
Filed under: uncultured bacterium
Lineage: Bacteria
Description: partial 16S ribosomal RNA
Rfam family: Bacterial small subunit ribosomal RNA
Source: RNAcentral
UACGUAGGGGGCUAGCGUUGUCCGGAAUCAUUGGGCGUAAAGCGCGUGUAGGCGGCCCGGUAAGUCCGCUGUGAAAGUCGGGGGCUCAACCCUCGGAUGCCGGUGGAUACUGUCGGGCUCGAGUACGGAAGAGGCGAGUGGAAUUCCUGGUGUAGCGGUGAAAUGCGCAGAUAUCAGGAGGAACACCGAUUGCGAAGGCAGCUCGCUGGGACGUGACUGACACUGAGGCGCGAAAGCGUGGGGAGCGAACAGG